UGGGGAAUAUUGGACAAUGGGCGCAAGCCUGAUCCAGCCAUGCCGCGUGAGUGAUGAAGGCCCUAGGGUUGUAAAGCUCUUUCACCGGUGAAGAUAAUGACGGUAACCGGAGAAGAAGCCCCGGCUAACUUCGUGCCAGCAGCCGCGGUAAUACGAAGGGGGCUAGCGUUGUUCGGAUUUACUGGGCGUAAAGCGCACGUAGGCGGACUUUUAAGUCAGGGGUGAAAUCCCGGGGCUCAACCCCGGAACUGCCUUUGAUACUGGAAGUCUUGAGUAUGGUAGAGGUGAGUGGAAUUCCGAGUGUAGAGGUGAAAUUCGUAGAUAUUCGGUGGAACACCAGUGGCGAAGGCGGCUCACUGGACCAUUACUGACGCUGAGGUGCGAAAGCGUGGGGAGCAAACAGG
RNAcentral lists this ribosomal RNA (404 nucleotides) under Actinomycetes bacterium. RNAcentral's name for it is "Actinobacteria bacterium partial 16S ribosomal RNA". It matches the Rfam family "Bacterial small subunit ribosomal RNA", at positions 355 to 776 of the family's 1533-position model. The record is from RNAcentral. Lineage: Bacteria; Bacillati; Actinomycetota; Actinomycetes. RNAcentral also lists the same sequence under 2 other names.